Ictalurus punctatus (channel catfish) is the source of this 263-nucleotide long non-coding RNA. The record is from Ensembl. Lineage: Eukaryota; Metazoa; Chordata; Actinopteri; Siluriformes; Ictaluridae.
GCUUAAUGGUUAGCACGUUCACCUCACACCUCCAGGGUCGGGGGUUCGAUUCCCACCGUGGCUCUGUGUGUGCGGAGUUUGCAUGUUCUCCCCGUGCUGCGGGGUUUCCUCCCCCAGUCCAAAGACAUGCAUGGUAGGCUGAUUGGCAUGUCCAAAGUGUCCGUAGUGUAUGAAUGGGUGUGUGAGUGUGUGUGUGAUUGUGCCCUGCGAUGGACUGGCACCCUGUCCAGGGUGUACCCCGCCUUGUUCCCGAUGCUCCCUGG